This 478-nucleotide long non-coding RNA is filed under the name Gallus gallus (chicken). The record is from RNAcentral. Lineage: Eukaryota; Metazoa; Chordata; Aves; Galliformes; Phasianidae.
CGCAGAUAUUUUCUGGUAAAGCAAUGCACUCCUGAUUCCUGGGUUCCCACUGACAGUUCUGAUCCAUGGCGCAGCUUUUACAGCUUGUCCUUUUGUUACAGUGAUAGGCAGGGUUAUCCUUAGGACAAUUCUCAUAAGCAGUAAUGGGAACCUGCUCCUCCGUGCAGUUGUUAUGCAUUGAUAUACACUGGUCGGUGCACCACUGACAGUUGUUUGUGUUUGCUGUACAGCUAUAGCAGUCUGUAAUCUGAUCACAUUUUUCAUUGUCUACAACUGGCUUGGCAGGGCAGUCCUCAAGGACCUUUUGCUGCUGCUGCAAUGUGGCCAUUUCCCAGGGCACACAGCCGGGUCGGGCAGGAUCCCAGACACAGCGCACACCGGGCCCUGCAUGCAUGCAGGCGGUCUCGUUAGCAAAGGCCUCACAUCUCUCUGGUGUGUACUUCAGGAUGUCGCUCAGCAGGAGGCUGUUGAAGCCUCC